GACGAACGCUGGCGGCGUGCUUAACACAUGCAAGUCGAACGCUGAAGCUUGGUGCUUGCACUGGGUGGAUGAGUGGCGAACGGGUGAGUAAUACGUGAGUAACCUGCCCUUGACUCUGGGAUAAGCCUGGGAAACUGGGUCUAAUACUGGAUACGACAUGUCACCGCAUGGUGGCGUGUGGAAAGGGUUUUACUGGUUUUGGAUGGGCUCACGGCCUAUCAGCUUGUUGGUGGGGUAAUGGCUCACCAAGGCGACGACGGGUAGCCGGCCUGAGAGGGUGACCGGCCACACUGGGACUGAGACACGGCCCAGACUCCUACGGGAGGCAGCAGUGGGGAAUAUUGCACAAUGGGCGAAAGCCUGAUGCAGCGACGCCGCGUGAGGGAUGACGGCCUUCGGGUUGUAAACCUCUUUCAGCACGGAAGAAGCGAAAGUCACGGUACGUGCAGAAGAAGCGCCGGCUAACUACGUG
Molecule: ribosomal RNA, 472 nt
Filed under: uncultured bacterium
Lineage: Bacteria
Description: partial 16S ribosomal RNA
Rfam family: Bacterial small subunit ribosomal RNA
Source: RNAcentral